AUACGGAGGGAGCUAGCGUUGUUCGGAAUUACUGGGCGUAAAGCGCACGUAGGCGGACUUGUUAGUCAGGGGUGAAAUCCCGGGGCCCAACCUCGGAACUGCCUUUGAUACUGCAAGCCUGGAGUCCGGAAGAGGUGGGUGGAAUUCCUAGUGUAGAGGUGAAAUUCGUAGAUAUUAGGAAGAACACCGGUGGCGAAGGCGGCCCACUGGUCCGGUACUGACGCUGAGGUGCGAAAGCGUGGGGAGCAAACAGGAUUAGAAACCCCUGUAGUCC
Molecule: ribosomal RNA, 274 nt
Filed under: uncultured bacterium
Lineage: Bacteria
Description: partial 16S ribosomal RNA
Rfam family: Bacterial small subunit ribosomal RNA
Source: RNAcentral